UGCUCCCUUCGGCAGCACAUAUAUAAAAUUGGAAUGAUACAGAGAAGAUUAGCAUGGCUCCUGCACUAGGAUGACAUGCAAAUUUAUGAAGUGUUCCAUAUUUAA
This is a small nuclear RNA of Marmota monax (woodchuck), 105 nucleotides long. The record is from RefSeq and is a predicted model, not a curated record. Lineage: Eukaryota; Metazoa; Chordata; Mammalia; Rodentia; Sciuridae.